Molecule: long non-coding RNA, 2034 nt
Organism: Mesocricetus auratus (golden hamster)
Lineage: Eukaryota; Metazoa; Chordata; Mammalia; Rodentia; Cricetidae
Exons: 3
Source: RefSeq, a predicted model, not a curated record
UGCUGGUCGCGAGCCCUCCUGGUGCGCGUGCACACUGGCUUGCAGGGAAGCCGUUGAAAGCAGGGGCGGAAGAGCUUCUCUUUCCAACUGUGCCACCUAGCAUAUCUGCACCACCUGCUUCGAGCUGCAGAGGGCGCUGCGGCAACAAAAGCCUCUUGGAAAAAAGGACCAGAUACCAAUGAAAACAAGUAGCCCAGAUGAUUCAGCCUCUCGGAAAGCCUCUAUUGCAGUUUCCUCAAAAUUCUGCAUCUAGAACAACUUCAAAGUCACUAGCUAAGAUGAUCCAGCCUCAGAGACUACUCUAACUAGGACUUCAGAAAAGCCCUGAACAGACACUGGACAACAAAAGUUACAGCAGUUUUCCGAGGACUUCUCAGGGUCUUCUAAAGAUGCUAUCACCCCCAGACAACAGGAAGCAGUCUAGAAAACACAAUGCCCACAUUCCCAAGAGGAGCUGGUGGGACAGAGAAAGACUCAUUACAAAUUCCCUUGUGCCUCUUCCUUUGGAAAAUUUUGUGUGGACUUUGAAGGAGGAAAAUGUAUGAAAUGGCAACCGUUUUAAACAAAAUAAUUCUUUGGAAAAAAUACCUGCCACCAUGGAACCAUAUAGUGUGUUGACUCUUCACACAAGAAUCCCCACUGUGCCCUCCUGAUUACACCAAGAACAGGAAAGUUAGGGAUUUACUAACUGAGCACAUCUGACUCCAAGUAUGAAACCCAUGCAAUGCAGAUCCAGAGCCUGAGGCCACUAAGGACAAGAGCUCAGUUAAUAAGUGUAGAGGAGUCAGAAUGAUAUGAUAUGAAGGAAAAAGAAUGAAGCAUCUUUCCUUUGGGGAGCCUGUGAGGGGAACAGACCCAUAUAGCUGUACCCCAUUACCAUUUGGAGGUGCGCACUGCUAUGGAUGUGAUGCGUGUGUGUGCACAGCAUGCAGGUGUGGACGUCAGAGGACAAACUUGGGCGCUGGUUUUCGGGCACAGUCCACAUUUUAAGACACAGUCUCUUGGUGGCCUGGAACUUUGCCACACGAGCAAGUCUUAGUGUGGUGUCUGGCUUUUCCGUGGAUUUCAGAGAUCCAAACUGAUGUCUCCAGGCUCCUGAGGUUGAGCGCUUUGCUGACUGAGCCUUCUUCUCAGCUUCCUAUCACCUUCUGGGCUUCCCCAGAGUCCUGCCUUUCUCACAGUCUUCCCUCCGAGAUCUCCUACAGAUCCCAGGACUGGAGAUCAAGGACCUCCCCAGGUUGUUCAUAUGCGCCCUUCAUCACAUCUCUAAACCGGUCACCUGAACUGAGUCAAGUCCCUCAGUAUUUCCUCUCCAUGCUCUGAGAGCCUUCUGCGCAUGUGCUCUGCCACCUCCUGCCUGGGCCCUCUGCAUCUGUCUGGACAACAGCAGAACUUCUGCAUUGUCUGGUUGGGAAACCAUCUUUGCUAUCAGAACUUCAGUUUGCCCCCUGGGGCAGUGCCAGGCAAGAGGGAUGGGUGCAGCACCACCUUAGCCUGUGUAGCUGGGAGAGCCAGCGUCCUGUGACUGUUUCCUCUAUGGAAUGGGGGCCGCUAGAGAAGACCCUCUUGUGGCUAAUGUGGGAAUUGCAGCCAUUGCAUAGCACCCAGCCUGGAGUACAUCACGUGACUCCCCACGUGGGCGGUGGAGGCAGAAGGAUCAGGGAGUAAACUGGCGCCAGCGCCUGCCUGUGUGUCUGUUCCCCUUCUGUUUCUGCUGGAGAUGCACUUUUGGCCACUGUGAAGCCUAUAGUGUAGCCAAGACAGCCCCCCCCUCAGCUUACAUGUGGUACAGGUGCAGGAAGGGGGCGGGGAGAGGAGAAGGUUGACUGUACUGCAUUCCUUCUAACCCCUAGUGAAGCAGCAGCUUCCCGAUUUUAUCUCAUUUUUUGUAUCUUCCCCCACUGCCCAGAUGUGUGUUGACCUGCCUGCCUGUGACUCCAGGAUUCUGGAAUCUGAGGCAAGAAGAUGAUUUGUGCUCAGAAAUUCAGACUUACUCUAGGCAGUGCAGGAUGAAAUUUCAAAUACCAAAUAAAA